UACAGAGGGUGCAAGCGUUGUCCGGAUUUAUUGGGUGUAAAGGGUGCGUAGGCGGGACGAUAAGUCCGAGGUGAAAGCCCGCAGCUUAACUGCGGAACUGCCUUGGAUACUGUCGACCUUGAGUCCCGGAGGGGUGGCUGGAAUUCCUGGCGUAGCGGUGAAAUGCGUAGAUAUCAGGAGGAACACCGGAGGUGUAGACGGGUCACUGGACGGGUACUGACGCUGAGGCACGAAAGCGUGGGGAGCAAACAGG
Molecule: ribosomal RNA, 253 nt
Filed under: uncultured bacterium
Lineage: Bacteria
Description: partial 16S ribosomal RNA
Rfam family: Bacterial small subunit ribosomal RNA
Source: RNAcentral